Long non-coding RNA from Dreissena polymorpha, 3897 nucleotides. RefSeq lists it as uncharacterized. NCBI's taxonomy places the organism in Eukaryota, Metazoa, Mollusca, Bivalvia, Myida, Dreissenidae. The transcript has 2 exons. The record is from RefSeq and is a predicted model, not a curated record.
UUCACUCCGCCUCUCCCUCCUUUGUGAUUGAAAUUGAGAGUCCCUUCACCUUUAAAAAGAAAAUAGAUGAGCGGUCUGCACCCGCAAGGCGGUGCUCUUGUUUGAAAAUGUGUGUAUUACUAACAAAGUGUUUAAAUUAGCUUGAGUGGUGAAGUGGUAUUGUCUAAGACUAUACGUUCAAAGGACACUGGUUUGAUAAUGAUAAAAAUUUAUUCAAAAUAUAUGAAAUUUAUUAAAAUUUACAUGAAAUGACUUUUUGAAUUACUAAAAUCUGUGAACAAGUCCAUUUAAACGCUGACAUCCUAUUUUUAGAAAAUAAUGUACAUCCAUAUUAUCAGAAAAAUGUAAUACGCAAUAAAGUGUCACCCUAUUUUCAGAAAAUGGCCUAUGCACAUAUUAUCUGCAAAAUGGUAACGUGAUACACAAUCUUUUAGUAUCUUGACAAUGGACUUUGUACUUUGGUGUGUAUUAAAACAGCCAACAUAAUUCAUUCUCUGUCAGAUUGAAACUUAGUUCAUUGGUUAUUUAUAAUAUUAGCUUAAAACUGUGUGUGUCUUUAUGAAACACAUUCUGGUUUUGAUAACCUUUAUUGUAUUCUAUUAAAGGAGUGAAAAUAAUACAAAACUUUUUUAAUUACAGGACAGUUCAUAAUACCUAUUGCAAAUUGCAACGUCUCUAAGUACAGUUCAUACAAGUUCAGAUUUAGUGAGGGACUAUUCUUGUUGUGCUUGCGAAAGUAAAAAUAUCAAAGAAAGUGCUGAAUUUUUCUGUGAAACAUGUUUGAAGUGUUUUUGUAAAAAAUGUCUUUAUUAUCAUGAUAAAUUAUAUGUAAAUCAUUUGAAAUAUGGAAGAGGAGAAACAAAUAAAUGGCCCCUAGCAAAGACAAUGGAGGAUUUGCUACUGAAAUGUGAUGUUCACAACAACAAGAAACUGAAAAUGUUCUGCCAAGACCACAGUCAGCUGUGCUGCUCGGAUUGUGUUUUACUGAAUCACAGAAAAUGUACAAAUCUGGCUCUCAUUUCUGAUUCCGUCAAAAAGCUGUCGGUGAAUAGGCAUCAGUUGUCAAACAAAAUUAAAACAGUUCUUACUAAACUAAAUAAGUUAUAGAUAACUCAAGAGGCCGGCAUUCAGUCUGUUGAUGGAUCAUACACUAAAAAACAGCAAGAAAUCAGAGAGAUGCGUAAGAAAUUAAAUGCUGCUUUGGAUAAACUUGAAAAUACAACCUUGAAAGAUCUGGAUGAAAUUAGGACCGCUUUGAAAACAUCUCUAAAGAAAGAUGUUGACAACUGCAGCAGACUGAAGGAUGAACUUCAACUGCUAGGUGAAGCUGUACAGGACCUUCAUGAAAACAGCAAGAGAGAAAUCGAGUUCAUAUCGGGCAGGAAAUGUCUUGACAAAAUACAGGAGUCACAGUCAUAUCUAAAGGAAACCCCAGUGAAGGUUCAGUGUUCCAUAAUAUUCAAGGAAAACAUUGACAUUAUGAAGAACCUGUCUAAACAUUUCAAUCUGGGGAAGAUUGUAGAAAGUAUGCAGUCUCUCAGACUGGAGAUGAUUCCAGCCCAGGUUGUGAGUUUGAAGAGGAAGUCUGACGAUUAUGUGAAAGCAUGUAAGUGUGCACCGACACAACUUCUUACAAAUGACCAUUUCCUCGGAAUGUGCUGCCCGGCAAGUGGGAAAUUUCCAUUUGAAAUUGAUCCAUAUGAUUCCAUUUAAAACAAGCAUCAUACAAACUGUCUUCUGAUCUCGAAUGGAUACUGUGUAAAAAAUGUGCUCUUAUACAGUUUCUGAGAUAUAGCCCUGAAACUAUGUGACAGACAGACGCCGAGACGGACCGACUAACAGACUGACAGACAGACACAUAGACUGAUGGACAACGGCAAUAGUAUAUCCCUUUACCUUUUAUCGUUGUUGGAUUGCAAUUGGUUUUGAAAGUGUAUAUGAGCAUAGAAAAUACAACGAAGAAAUGUAAACCUUACUUUAUACUUUAAAAAUAUGACAUUCUGGCAUUUGGAAUAAUAAACUGGUGGUAUUGAUUUAACAUGGUGUUAGAGCCCCCGUUUUGGCAUGUCUCACACUAAGUUUGGUCAGAGUUCUGCAACCAAUGGCUUUCCCUUCAAUUUCAAAAGUUCAUUUCAGAAAAAAGGGACUUGUAAUGGUAUGCAGUGCACACACUGUUCGCCAUUUGUGAAUAUAUUGAAAAUGUGUUUAAAACAAAUUUUGAUUUGAAAAAGUCUCUAAAAAGGUGCAUUAAGGUGAUGAAUUGUCACUGUUGGUUGCAAUAUCUUGAAAAAAGACUGCAUGAGGAAACAUUCUAACUCUAAAGGUAAGAGUUUUGAAAUGAAGCAAGGCAAAUCUUGUUGUUCUAUGUAGGUAGAAUGAGUGGUUGGUAAUACACUAUACGUGGUCAAGGGAGCUUACAUUGUAUAUGCCAUUGAUCUUUGUUGUUAAAAAUAAGAUCCAUGAUAUUUCUCUCAUUAUUUCGGCUAUUAUCAGGAAAUGUGUGCUUCUGUGAAGCAAAUUAAUGAUGUUUUGAACUUUGACAUAUACAAUUGUCAUGAUUGACUAUUAAGGUAACAACUGCAUGUUACAUUAUGAUACUUGACAAUAUGAGCUUUUUAUCAUUUAUUUAAUAAAUGAAAUUUGUAUGCCCCCGAAGAAGGGCAUAUAGUGAUCAGACCGUCUGUUCGUCUCUCUGUCUUUCUUUCCGUCACACUUUGCAUUAAGGUUUCGCAUUUAGGUUUCGAAAAAUGCUCAUAUCUUCUAUGUCCCUUCACAUAGCAACUUGAUAUUUGGCAUGCAUCUGUAUUUCAUGGAGCUGCACAUUUUGAGUGUUAAAAGGUCAAGGUCAUUCUUCAAGGUCAAAGGUAAAAAAACCUGUAUCAAAGCGGCGCAGUAGGGGGUAUUGUGUUUCUGACAAACACAUCUCUUGUUUUAAAAUGCGAUAUUUAAUAUUUUUAUUUGAUUGCAAGUUUCCGCAAGCCAAAACAGAAAUUAUUGUCAAGUGUGAUCCAUGUGUUGGUUGUUGCAAUAAUUCAACUCUCAGCAUAACCCAAAGGGUUGCUGAGAGUUGCAAUACGCCGUCUUUUGUCUAAAGGUACACAAUGUGAUCACCACUGCAAAAGCUAAGGGACACUGAUACUGCAAGAAUUAAUCAAUUUACUUGUCUAAAGCACAAACUCAUGCAAAUGGUGCCAUUUAAGCAAGAAAUAAUUGCUUUUUAUUUACUUUGUUAUUCUUUUGUACGCUCUAUCUACCAUAUUAGAAAACUGUGAUGUUGCCUAAAAGUGUCGCUAUCGGUUAGGUUGCAGAACACCAAUCUUUUGCACAUAGUGAUAUUUGAUGUAACAUAAGUUGAUAACGAUGUCGAAUAUUUACACUGUUCCAAAUUUCAAAAUUGUUGGCAAGAAUAGUGUUGAAAUAUCGUCGUGUUUGUUAAGGUUACAUGCAAAGGAUAACCUCCGUAGGCUGCCAUUCAGGUAAAUUUAAUUUGUUCGUUGUAAUUUUUAGUAUAUGAACUCAAUUUAGACUGCUUUGUCUGAUGCCAUCGGGACAUGGUGGACAUUUGUUAUCAGAACAGUUACCAGGUGGUCAUCAUUUCAUAAUAUAGAUUAUCAAGGAUGGUCUGUUCUGUUGCUCGCACAGUCUGCUUGUCAGAUAUUUCAACAGUUACAAUAAUAAAUAUCAAAUGUUAGGUCCUAUCAGUGUCUUUCCACACAUCCAAAUAUGGAAGGGUGGGCAGAUUUGUAAAAAAAAGCCAGGUUCAGUGAGAAGCUGGGGAGAGUUGGUGGCAGUUCGAGAGAGAACGGAUUUUACCUAAAAUGUGAAGACAGUUAACAAAUAAACAUUAUUGUUGUAUAUAUUUAUUCUCGUAGUGUGUAAAUAAAAUGAAGAGUUAUA